This is a long non-coding RNA of Panicum virgatum (switchgrass), 1246 nucleotides long. RefSeq lists it as uncharacterized. The record is from RefSeq and is a predicted model, not a curated record. NCBI's taxonomy places the organism in Eukaryota, Viridiplantae, Streptophyta, Magnoliopsida, Poales, Poaceae. The transcript has 2 exons.
AAAAAAAAAAACACUCAUAACUCGAGGCGUGGCCACUGGCUUCCCUAGUCCCGAUGAUGGCCCCGCCGCCGCCGGCUGGAAAUGCUGGCGCUUCGCGUCCUGCCCCGCCGAGCCUUCUGCUGGGGACCGCGACGCGCCGCCGCGGAGUCGCUGACCCUACGGUCGAAGAGCGCGAAGUCGCCGGCGUACCUACCUCCCGGUUCCCUCCGGCGAAGUUUGAUUUUCUUCCGAACUCAGGUAGUUGCAGAGAUCAAUACUAAACCGGUCGACAUUGGAGUUAACCAGAUCUGUCUUAUGCAGUUGACAGAGUAUAUCACUUAAGAGCUUCCCUGGAUCCCCAUGGGCCCCUGAAACCCAUGCCCUUUCCUCGAAUUGCUUGCCAACCUCGCUGUUGUACAAUUCCCUGGCAAGGAUGGUUUUCCCCAAUCCACAGAACCCAACUAUAGAGAUCACCUUCAGCUGCUUUGGUUGACUCUCCGCUUCCACCAACUGCACCAGAAGCUCCUCCAAGGGCGCGUCGAUGCCAACAAGAUGAUCACGAGGUACAUGCUGAUCCAAGGAUGAUUCUGCUAGCUGUGAUGGGGAUGAACGGGGCACUGAAUACCUCUGUUGCCGUUGGAGUGCUUCCUCCAGUCUGGACCUAAGUCGCUGCAUCUCUUCACCUAACUGGCAGCGUGAUUUUCUCUUCCUCCCAGAUUUAAUAUAUUUGCAGUACCAUGGUUGCUGAUCCAAAGACGCAUCAUACAUGAUGUGAUCUAUGCAGUCUUCCAUUUCAUGAGCUACAUGGCGCAAUUCAUCAACUGUUAAACGCAGUAUGUGAUCAUCAUGUCCCAAGAGCUGCCCAUCAAUGGCACUAGUGAUCAUGGGAAGCUCUCUCAUCAGGAAAGUAACAUCUCCUUCAAAGCCCUUGUACAGAUUGUAUUUCUCCUCCACAAGACAGAACAAUCUAGACAAAAGAUUGUCUAUAAAUGCACUCAACAGGCGGGGGUCCUCCAUGGAUCCCCUGUUCAGUUCUGAUGGUUCCUAGUGAGCAGGUGAAAAGCUCCUUUCGCUACUGUGACAGUAAGUAGCAUUUGUUAGCUUAAUCUAAUAAAGGUUCCACGUUUUGUAUUGCAUACAUAUAUGUAGUCAUAUGUAAAAUAGUUCCAUUGUAGCUGAAGAGUCCACUACACAAAAUAGUGCUGUCAGCUACUUUGUUAACCAAACUGUUGGAAUACUUGUAUAUGACGUACAUACUCUCUCCUAA